CGGGGGAGCAAGCGUUGUUCGGAUUUACUGGGCGUAAAGGGCGCGUAGGCGGCCACCGCAAGUCGACUGUGAAAUCUCCGGGCUUAACCCGGAACGGUCAGCCGAUACUGCGGGGCUAGAGUGCAGAAGGGGCAACUGGAAUUCUCGGUGUAGCGGUGAAAUGCGUAGAUAUCGAGAGGAACACCUGCGGCGAAGGCGGGUUGCUGGGCUGACACUGACGCUGAGGCGCGAAAGCUAGGGGAGCGAACGGGAUUAGAUACCCCGGUAGUCCUAGCCUUAAACGAUGAAUGCUUGGUGUCUGGGGUUUUAUAGUCCCCGGGUGCCGUCGCUAACGCUUUAAGCAUUCCGCCUGGGGAGUACGGUCGCAAGACUG
RNAcentral lists this ribosomal RNA (373 nucleotides) under uncultured organism. RNAcentral describes it as "bacterial SSU rRNA". It matches the Rfam family "Bacterial small subunit ribosomal RNA", at positions 527 to 896 of the family's 1533-position model. The record is from RNAcentral.